AAAUCCAAAGGCGUGCUGCGGACCGAAUGAAAGUAGGGAAGUGUGUGAGCCAUGAAUCAAGAAAAGCCGCUAUUGUUUUUAAGAUACCCGUACCGUAAACCGACACAGGUGGAUGAGGAGAGAAUCCUAAGGCCGGCGGAAGAAGCAUUGUUAAGGAACUCGGCAAAAUGACCCCGUAACUUCGGGAGAAGGGGUGCCAACGAGAGUUGGCCGCAGAGAAUAGGCUCAAGCAACUGUUUAGCAAAAACACAGGUCUAUGCAAAACCGUAAGGUGAGGUAUAUGGGCUGACGCCUGCCCGGUGCUGGAAGGUUAAGAGGAGAGGUUAGCGCAAGCGAAGCUUUGAAUUUAAGCCCCAGUAAACGGCGGCCGUAACGAUAACGGUCAUAAGGUAGCGAAAUUCCUUGUCGGGUAAGUUCCGACCCGCACGAAAGGCGUAAUGAUUUGAGCGCUGUCUCGACAAUGCAUCCGGUGAAAUUGAAGUACCAGUGAAGAUGCUGGUUACCCGCGCCAGGACUGAAAGACCCCAUGGAGCUUUACUCCAGUUUGGUACUGGGGUCCGGCAGUGCAUGUACAGGAUAGGUGGGAGGCUGUGAACCUGGAACGCCAGUUUCAGGGGAGCCAUUGUUGGGAUACCACCCUUGUGCUGCUGGGCUUCUAACCAGCGGCCUUUAUCAGGCCGGGGGACAAUGCCAGACGGGGAGUUUGACUGGGGCGGUCGCCUCCGAAAGGGUAUCGGAGGCGCUCAAAGGUUCCCUCAGAAUGGUCGGAAACCAUUCGAAGAGUGCAAAGGCAGAAGGGAGCUUGACUGCGACACCGACGGGUGGAGCAGGUACGAAAGUAGGACUUAGUGAUCCGGUGGUAUUAAGUGGGAAUGCCAUCGCUCAACGGAUAAAAGCUACCCUGGGAUAACAGGCUUAUCACUCCCAAGAGUUCACAUCGACGGAGUGGUUUGGCACCUUGAUGUCGGCUCAUCGCAUCCUGGGGCUGUAGUAGGUCCCAAGGGUUGGGCUGUUCGCCCAUUAAAGCGGUACGCGAGCUGGGUUCAGAACGUCGUGAGACAGUUCGGUCCCUAUCCGGCGUGGGCGUAGGAUAUUUGAGAGGAGCUGUCCUUAGUACGAGAGGACCGGGAUGGACUGACCUCUGGUGUACCGGUUGAACCGCCAGGUUCACGGCCGGGUAGCCAAGUCGGGAAGGGAUAAACGCUGAAGGCAUCUAAGCGUGAAGCCCCCCUCAAGAUGAGAUAUCCCAUUCUUAAAGAAGUAAGACCCCUUGAAGACGACGAGGUAGAUAGGGCAGAGGUGGAAGUGCCGUAAGGCAUGGAGCUGACUGUUACUAAUCGGUCGAGGGCUUGACU
RNAcentral lists this ribosomal RNA (1355 nucleotides) under metagenome. Its description in RNAcentral is "bacterial LSU rRNA". It matches the Rfam family "Bacterial large subunit ribosomal RNA", at positions 1551 to 2925 of the family's 2925-position model. The record is from RNAcentral.